Molecule: ribosomal RNA, 253 nt
Filed under: uncultured bacterium
Lineage: Bacteria
Description: partial 16S ribosomal RNA
Rfam family: Bacterial small subunit ribosomal RNA
Source: RNAcentral
UACGUAGGGUGCGAGCGUUGUCCGGAAUUAUUGGGCGUAAAGAGCUUGUAGGCGGUUUGUCGCGUCUGCCGUGAAAUUUCGGGGCUCAACCCCGAGCUUGCGGUGGGUACGGGCAGACUAGAGUGUGGUAGGGGAGACUGGAAUUCCUGGUGUAGCGGUGAAAUGCGCAGAUAUCAGGAGGAACACCGAUGGCGAAGGCAGGUCUCUGGGCCACUACUGACGCUGAGAAGCGAAAGCAUGGGGAGCAAACAGG